RNAcentral lists this ribosomal RNA (497 nucleotides) under uncultured bacterium. Its description in RNAcentral is "partial 16S ribosomal RNA". It matches the Rfam family "Bacterial small subunit ribosomal RNA", at positions 28 to 507 of the family's 1533-position model. The record is from RNAcentral.
GAUGAACGCUGGCGGCGUGCCUAAUACAUGCAAGUCGAGCGAACAGACGAGGAGCUUGCUCCUCUGACGUUAGCGGCGGACGGGUGAGUAACACGUGGAUAACCUACCUAUAAGACUGGGAUAACUUCGGGAAACCGGAGCUAAUACCGGAUAAUAUAUUGAACCGCAUGGUUCAAUAGUGAAAGACGGUUUUGCUGUCACUUAUAGAUGGAUCCGCGCCGCAUUAGCUAGUUGGUAAGGUAACGGCUUACCAAGGCAACGAUGCGUAGCCGACCUGAGAGGGUGGUCGGCCACCCUGGAACUGAGACACAGUACAGACUCCUACGGGAGGAAGCAGUAGGGAAUCUUCCGCAAUGGGCGAAAGCCUGACGGAGCAACGCCGCGUGAGUGAUGAAGGUCUUCGGAUCGUAAAACUCUGUUAUUAGGGAAGAACAAAUGUGUAAGUAACUAUGCACGUCUUGACGGUACCUGAUCAGAAAGCCACGGCUAACUACGUG